UCGGCCGGGCGCAGCCGGGCCCGGGACGCGCGGCCGCGGCGGAGGUACAGCCUCCGGGCCGCCGUCCCGGCCCUCGGCCCGCGGAGGCCGAGCGGCCCCCUGGACGUGUCGGCGUUGCCCCCCUUUUGAGUGGUCCCUUCCGGAGAGCACACGGGAGGAAUUUUGUUGUCAGAGCCUAAGAGGAGGUUGUCGUAAUUGACUUUACGCAGCAAACACUAAAACACAGCUCUUCAGCUCCGCCUUUCUUGCUCUGAGAAUUGGAAAACCAAAAAGGUUUUGAUGUUUUGUGUGGCGUCACCUGAAUUAGAAGCCAAGAUGAACGUAACCAAAGGCGGCCUGGUGCUGUUCUCAGCAAAUUCUAACUCCUCGUGCAUGGAGCUUUCCAAGAAAAUCGCCGAGCGGCUGGGAGUGGAGAUGGGCAAAGUGCAGGUGUACCAGGAGCCGGACAGAGAAACAAGAGUGCAGAUUCAAGAGUCCGUGAGGGGGAAGGACGUGUUCAUCAUCCAGACGGUGUCCAGGGACGUGAACAGCACCAUCAUGGAGCUCCUGAUCAUGGUGUACGCGUGUAAGACGUCUUGUGCCAAAAGCAUCAUCGGCGUGAUCCCCUACUUCCCGUACAGCAAGCAGUGCAAGAUGCGGAAGCGCGGCUCCAUCGUCUCCAAGCUGCUGGCGUCGAUGAUGUGCAAAGCUGGUCUCACUCAUCUCAUCACCAUGGAUUUGCACCAGAAGGAAAUCCAGGGCUUCUUCAACAUCCCUGUUGACAAUUUAAGGGCGUCUCCCUUCUUACUACAGUAUAUUCAAGAAGAGAUCCCGGAUUACAGGAACGCGGUGAUUGUGGCCAAGUCUCCAGCCUCAGCCAAGAGGGCACAGUCCUUUGCGGAGCGCUUGCGCCUGGGGAUCGCGGUCAUCCACGGGGAAGCGCAGGAUGCCGAGUCCGACCUGGUGGACGGCCGGCACUCCCCGCCCAUGGUCCGGAGCGCGGCCGCCAUCCACCCCAGCCUGGAGAUCCCCAUGCUGAUUCCCAAGGAGAAGCCCCCGAUCACGGUUGUCGGCGACGUGGGCGGAAGGAUCGCCAUCAUUGUGGAUGACAUCAUUGAUGAUGUGGACGGCUUCCUCGCAGCCGCAGAGACCCUGAAAGAGAGGGGCGCCUACAAGAUCUUCGUGAUGGCCACACACGGCCUGCUGUCCUCUGACGCCCCCCGGCUGAUUGAGGAGUCUGCCAUCGACGAGGUGGUGGUUACCAACACAAUCCCACACGAAAUCCAGAAGCUCCAGUGCCCCAAAAUCAAAACUGUGGACAUCAGCAUGAUCCUCUCAGAAGCCAUCCGUCGGAUUCACAAUGGGGAGUCCAUGUCCUACCUUUUCAGAAACAUAGGUUUAGAUGACUGACGGGUUCCCGUGUUAAAACUCCUGAGGGCCAAACUGGGGUCUGAGAAUGAGUGCCGUGAGGUGUUGCUGGCUGGGUGUGUUUCACAGGGGCCACCUGUGUCUCGUUCCUUCCUUUUUGUUCAUUCCUACAGAGACAGACCAACUUCUUACGUCUGCGUGGGUGUUUGUGAGUCUGGGGGGCAAUUUUUAUAACAGAAAAACUGUAUUGUCCUCUUAAAUAAGUUAAGACCUGGUUGUGUUUAGUUUAACUAUUUAAAAAAUAACUGGGAAUAAGAUUUUUAAGCUCACAAAUAGCCUUUUUCCAAAAUUGCUUGAGCCCAAGUGCUUAAAAAAGUUAAUAAAAUAAAAUGAUCUACUAAUGAUACCGCAGUUGAGAAGCCAAAAAGAUUCUCCUGUCAACUCCAGUAAACUUCCAGAAGUGCUUUUAUAGACAAGCUUAUGGAAUAUGUGAUGGUUAUUUAUUUUCUGCAACAAAAGAAGGAAUAAAAACUUACCGUGUUUGUGUGGUUUUUUUUAAAUUUUGUGUUUUGGCAAUUGUUUUAUAACUGAAAUAAAAUGGAAGCUGAAUGUGAGUGCUGUGGAUGUCGAGGUGUAUGGCCGCUUGUGGGGUUGUCUGCAGCUUCGGGUGGCACGGCAGCCUUCAGGGUGUGAUGUUCCCUGUUCUGUCUGUCCAGGGCCCUGCACGUUGAUGCAUAGUCACUUGACUGCAGCAGCAGAGGAGUUGGAACGCCAGCUGUGAGCUCAGGGGGCAGAGUUUUGAGGAAGUGUGUGAUGACUCGCUGGCUGACCACUAAGCUGACUGAACAGAGACUGCGAUUGCCACAAACAACAAAGAGCGCAGACUACAAGAUCAGCUGAGAAAAGCCACUGCACAAAUGAACCCUGUAGAGAGAAGAGAAUCUGGUCUCCAGACUUCUGCAUUAUCAUAUGGAAAAUACCAGUUUUCAACAACAAAGAAAUUUUGAGGCAUGUAAAGAAACAAGAAUGUUGGGCCCGCAUGCAGGGAAAAAAGUUAUUAGUAGAAACUGUCCUUGAGGAAGCCCAGCCUUUAGACUUACUAGACGCAGACUUCAAAUCAACCAUUUUAAACACGCUCAAGGAGCCAAAGGAAGCCAUGGGAGUGACGUCUCACCAGACAGAGAAUAUCAGGGAGGGGACAGAAAUAAUAAAAAUGAGCCAAACAGGAUUUGAGGAAGGUGGAGCAGGAGGCACCCAGAAUCUGUCUCCACCUAGACUUGCAGUGGGAAUUCCACCUGGUGAUUUGGGAACUCCAGAGUCUAUUGAAGGUUUGCAACUUUUAGGGGGAGGAUUGGACAGUAAGUUGCAGUUAAUUUUGCUCAAAUCCAGCUCUUAGCGCAGUUACAGAUACCCCACCCCACUCCCAGCCCUGCGGCAGGCAACUGUGCACAUGCUCCUGGAGCAGUCCGCGCAGGCCUGUGGGAGCCAGAGUGGGCGAAAAGUCCCCCUCCCCCAAAUAGCGGUAUCUGUGUUCUGAUGGCUGAUUGCCGCCUCUGAUCACAGAGGUGCAGAGAGGCUAGAGGCCAUUGUUGCUUCACCUUCCUCGUUGCAGGCUCCUCCCCCUCCAGCUGAAGAGUGAACAUGUCCUCAUUCUGUGAGACCAGCAUUACCCUAAUACAAAAACCAGAUAAAGACAUAAGAAAGUAACACUAAAGUCCAGUAUCUUGUGAACAUAGGUGCAGAAAUCCUCAGCAAAGUAUUAGCAAGUUUGUUGGUUUAUCUCAGAUGAGCAAGGCUGUCUCAGCAUUUGAAAGUCAACUUACGUAAUCCAUCUCAUCAACGGGCUUUAAAAAAUAAGUUACAUGAUUACAUCAAUCGAUAACAGAAAAAGCAUCUAAAUCCAAUGUCCAUUCAUGAUAAAAACUGAGUAAAAUAAGAAUAAAGGGGGAACUUCCUCAUCAUGAUAAAGAAUAUCUACAAACAGCCUGCAGUGAACAUCAUACUUAGUGGUGAGGAACUGGAAGUUUUCCCACUAAGAUCAGGAAUAAGGCAAGGGUGGCCCUUCUGAUCACUGUUUUGACAUUGUACUGGAAACCCAAGCUACUGCGGUAAGACAAGAAAAGGACUUAAAGGGUAUACAAAUUGGAAGGAAGAAAUAAAACUGCCUUUGUUCUCAGAUGAUAUGAUAAUCUAUGUAGAAAAUUUGAAAAAAUUUACAACCACCCGUCUCCCCCAGAACUAAUAAGUGAUUAUAGCAAGACUGCAGGAUACAAAGUCAGUUCCUUUCCUGUGUAUCAGCAGUGAGCACGUGGAAUUUGAAAAUAAAAAUAAAAUACCAUUUACAUUAGCACCACAAAAAUAACAUACGUAGGUAAAAAUAUAGCAAAAUACGUGAAAAUCUGUAUAAGGAAAACUAUAAAACUGAUCAAAGAAAUCAAAGAACUAAAUAGAUGGAGAGAUAGUCCGUGUUCAUGGAGAGCAAGACUCAUUAUUGCCAAGAUGUCACUUCUUCCCAACUUUAGCUAAAGAUUCAGUGCAAUCUCAAUCAAAAUCCCACCAGGUUAUUCUGUGGAUUUUGAAAAGCUGACUCUAGAGAUUCGAUGGAGAAGGGAAAGACCCAGAAUAGCCAAUACAAUACAGGAGAAGAACAAAGUUGGAGUGGAGUACCUCACUUCAAGACAACUCUGAAGCUACCGUUACCAAGAGUGACACUGUUGAAAGAGUAGACAAGUAGACCAGUUGAACAGAAUAGAGAGUGCAGAAACAGACCCACAUAAACACAGCCAACCAGUCUGACCAAGGAGCAAAAGCAAUACAAUGAACCAAAGAGUCUUUUCAGCAGUGUUUGAAUCACUGGACAGUCACAUAAAAAAAAAUGUAGACUUAAAUGUAAAAGUCAAAGCCAUGAAACUCUUAGAAGAUAACACAGGAGAAAACCUAGGUGACCUUGGUAUGGCAGUUACUUUUUAGUUAUGAUGCCAGGGGGAUAAUCCAUGAAAGAAAUCAUUGACAAACUGGAAUUUGCUAAAAUUAAAAAGUUCUACUCUGAAAUGCACUGUUAAGAGUG
Molecule: non-coding RNA, 4414 nt
Organism: Vicugna pacos (alpaca)
Lineage: Eukaryota; Metazoa; Chordata; Mammalia; Artiodactyla; Camelidae
Source: RefSeq, a predicted model, not a curated record